CGCAGCCGCGGUAAUUCCAGCUCCAAUAGCGUAUAUUAAAGUUGUUGCAGUUAAAAAGCUCGUAGUUGAAUUUCGGUAUCAAUUCGUCGGUCGUGCUUUUUUGGUACGUACUGGCGUUAUUGGUUUCUCCCUUCUGACGAACCAUGAUGUCAUUAAUUUGGUGUUAUGGGGGUUUAGGACUGUUACUUUGAAAAAAUUAGAGUGUUUAAAGCAGGCAUUAGCUUGAAUACAUUAGCAUGGAAUAAUGAAAUAGGACGUUCGAACCUAUUUUGUGGUUUCUAGGAUCAACGUAAUGAUUAAUAGGGAUAGUUGGGGGCAUUAGUAUUCAAUUGUCAGAGGUGAAAUUCUUGGAUUUAUUGAAGACUAACUACUGCGAAAGCAUUUGCCAAGGAUGUUUUCAUUAAUCAAGAACGAAGUUAGGGGAUCGAAGACGAUCAGAUACCGUCGUAGUCUUAACCAUAAACCUAUGCCGACUAGGGAUCGGAUCGAUGUUAAUUUUAAUGACUCAUUCGGCGUCCUU
RNAcentral lists this ribosomal RNA (520 nucleotides) under uncultured Glomeromycotina. RNAcentral describes it as "SSU rRNA". It matches the Rfam family "Eukaryotic small subunit ribosomal RNA", at positions 569 to 1090 of the family's 1831-position model. Lineage: Eukaryota; Fungi; Glomeromycota. The record is from RNAcentral.